GAUGAACGCUGGCGGCGUGCUUAACACAUGCAAGUCGAGCGGGCAAUUUAUCUAGCACUGAUUACUUCAAAUGGAAAUCAUAAGUGUAAUCAUGAAUUUCUACCUUUAAUAAAGAAAAAGAAAUUCAUGUACGCAAAUAGUGAUAACACAUUUUAGUGGAGUGAUGAGUGCUGGAUAAAUUGCUAGCGGCGGACGGGUGCGUAACACGUGGGUAACCUGCCCCUAUCACUGGGAUAACACACUGAAAAGUGUGCUAAUACCAGAUAAUAUAAGCUUUUGGCAUCAUUAGCUUAUCAAAGAAUUUCGGAUAGGGAUGGGCCCGCGUCUGAUUAGCUAGUUGGUGAGGUAACGGCUCACCAAGGCAACGAUCAGUAGCCGACCUGAGAGGGUGAUCGGCCACACUGGAACUGAGACACGGUCCAGACUCCUACGGGAGGCAGCAGUGAGGAAUAUUGGUCAAUGGACGCAAGUCUGAA
Molecule: ribosomal RNA, 476 nt
Filed under: uncultured bacterium
Lineage: Bacteria
Description: bacterial SSU rRNA
Rfam family: Bacterial small subunit ribosomal RNA
Source: RNAcentral